UUAUUAUAUUGCAUAUCUGAAACUAAUAUAACACUGUAUGUUAGUUAUACUUGAAUAAAAAAAUAAUUAAAUGAAUUAAUUAAUCUAAAGUCUGUUCUAACAGUGGUUGGCGUAUGAGAGGAUCACAAGAAAUCCUCUGCCUCAUGAAGAGAACACCAGUGGAAUCCCCCCUUGGCCAGGACUCCUCCAGAAGCAGCUAAAAAAAUGUCAGUCGUGCUUUUCUUCAUCUCCUGUAACCAGAUUCUCACAACAGCCCCAUGAAGCUAUCUCAUUACAUGUGAUUUCUGAGUGAGCUUUGGACUCCCACUUGAAAGAAAUGGUCAGAUUGAGUCCUAGAAUGGAAAGAAAAGUGGAACAGAACUACCACAGUUUGAGACUGCCAACACAUAAUGUCUCUCUCUCUUUCAUGAUGAAGUCCAAGACCAUGGAUGGGAUCUUUCAGGAUCACAAAAUACAUGUAUAUUUCCUUUCAUGGAAAAAGGAACUUCUUAAAAACCAAUAAUCUUUUAAAUGGCAUUGUGGGAAGAAGGAUUCUUCAUGCCAGGUUCUACAUCCAAAUGAACUGAGGAAAGGUACCAUGUGACAGAUAAUCAUGGAUAAAUACAAUAGGAAGCUUAACUUCCUCCUGGAGAUUGUCCAGAGCGUCUUGGCGCUAAGCCAGUGUUCCCACUCCUGCUCCUGAGUACUAUUUGCGAUAGCUAAAUUAUGGAAGCAGCCCAAGUGGUCAUGGAUUGAUGAAU
Long non-coding RNA from Felis catus (domestic cat), 740 nucleotides. RefSeq lists it as uncharacterized. Lineage: Eukaryota; Metazoa; Chordata; Mammalia; Carnivora; Felidae. The record is from RefSeq and is a predicted model, not a curated record. The transcript has 5 exons.